CGUGUAGGCGGGCUGGCGUGUCGGAUGUGAAAUCCCUGAGCUCAACUCAGGAACUGCAUUCGAAACUACCAGUCUAGAGUGGUGGAGAGGGAAGUGGAAUUCCUGGUGUAGAGGUGAAAUUCGUAGAUAUCAGGAGGAACACCAGUGGCGAAGGCGGCUUCCUGGACACCAACUGACGCUGAGACGCGAAGCGUGGGAGCAAACA
Molecule: ribosomal RNA, 205 nt
Filed under: uncultured bacterium
Lineage: Bacteria
Description: partial 16S ribosomal RNA
Rfam family: Bacterial small subunit ribosomal RNA
Source: RNAcentral